GACGAACGCUGGCGGCGCGCUUAACACAUGCAAGUCGAACGGAAAGGCCUGCUUUCCCUUGUGGAUUGCGGGUACUCGAGUGGCGAACGGGUGAGUAACACGUGAGUGAUCUGCCCCCAACUUGGGUAUAAGCCUGGGAAACUGGGUCUAAUUCCCGAUAGGACUGCAGGGUGGUGCCUGUGGUGGAAAACGAUUUUCUAGUGGUUGGGGAUGAGCUCGCGGCCUAUCAGCUUGUUGGUGGGGUAAUGGCCUACCAAGGCGGCGACGGGUAGCCGGCCUGAGAGGGUGGACGGCCACAUUGGGACUGAGAUACGGCCCAGACUCCUACGGGAGGCAGCAGUGGGGAAUAUUGCACAAUGGGCGGAAGCCUGAUGCAGCGACGCCGCGUGGGGGAUGACGGCCUUCGGGUUGUAAACUCCUUUCGACCGCGAGGAAGCCACCUGGUUGGAAGGGUGGUGACGGUGGCGGUAGAAGAAGCACCGGCUAACUACGUG
Molecule: ribosomal RNA, 494 nt
Filed under: uncultured bacterium
Lineage: Bacteria
Description: partial 16S ribosomal RNA
Rfam family: Bacterial small subunit ribosomal RNA
Source: RNAcentral